Molecule: small nucleolar RNA, 87 nt
Filed under: Glycine max (soybean)
Lineage: Eukaryota; Viridiplantae; Streptophyta; Magnoliopsida; Fabales; Fabaceae
Description: small nucleolar RNA snoR114
Rfam family: small nucleolar RNA snoR114
Source: Rfam by way of RNAcentral
GAGCUGUGAUGACAAUUGUGUCAGCUGUGAUAGAUGGGUCUGUCACAACUUUCUGAUUUUCUGAAGAAUGGUGGCACUCCUGAGCUC